Molecule: ribosomal RNA, 499 nt
Filed under: uncultured bacterium
Lineage: Bacteria
Description: partial 16S ribosomal RNA
Rfam family: Bacterial small subunit ribosomal RNA
Source: RNAcentral
AUUGAACGCUGGCGGAAUGCUUACACAUGCAAGUCGAACGGCAGCACGGACUUCGGUCUGGUGGCGAGUGGCGAACGGGUGAGUAAUGUAUCGGAACGUGCCCAGUCGUGGGGGAUAACGUAGUGAAAAUUACGCUAAUACCGCAUACGAUCUAUGGAUGAAAGCGGGGGAUCGCAAGACCUCGCGCGAUUGGAGCGGCCGAUAUCAGAUUAGGUAGUUGGUGGGGUAAAGGCCCACCAAGCCAACGAUCUGUAGCUGGUCUGAGCGGACGACCAGCCACACUGGAACUGAGACACGGUCCAGACUCCUACGGGAGGCAGCAGUGGGGAAUUUUGGACAAUGGGCGAAAGCCUGAUCCAGCCAUUCCGCGUGCAGGAUGAAGGCCCUCGGGUUGUAAACUGCUUUUGUACAGAACGAAAAGGUUUCUACUAAUACUAGGAGCUCAUGACGGUACUGUAAGAAUAAGCACCGGCUAACUACGUGCCAGCCGCCGCGGUAA